Long non-coding RNA from Mesocricetus auratus (golden hamster), 872 nucleotides. RefSeq lists it as uncharacterized. The transcript has 3 exons. The record is from RefSeq and is a predicted model, not a curated record. NCBI's taxonomy places the organism in Eukaryota, Metazoa, Chordata, Mammalia, Rodentia, Cricetidae.
UGCUCGAAAUCCAUCCUGAAACAAGCAGGCCGAGCUGUGAGUAAAAGAAUUAAAGUCUCAAGACAUUGCAGUGCCUUGUAUUUAUAAUGAUGCCAGCUGCAGACAAUGUUCUGAUCAUUCACAGUAGCCCGUUAGAUUCACCUGGAGUUGUAAGCUAGAAUACAAAGAGUGAGACGUGGCGGCCCAUACCGACAAGCCCAGCACCUGGGAUUGCUUCGAGUUCAAAGUCAGCCUUGAUUAGACACGGUCUAGAGCAAGGCACAAACUGGAACUUUCCUGCCAGACAUCGAUUCCUAGCAAUAGGAGCAAUUUCAGCAGUGAGUGGGUUAAGUCACUGUCCAUUAGCCCACAAACCUCAAGGUCAGAAUGUUUACCCAGAAGAAGGAAAAACAUCUUUUGAAACCAUGCCCAUUACCAAGGAACAAUUACCAAACUUUAGCCUAGCCCAGAAAAUCAAUGCGAGUCGGCUGGUCUAUUGUGUGGAGCAGAGCCAUCUGACCCCUCCUCUCUGAGGCUGAAUCCCUUUGUCUGCAGCUUCAGCCGGCUGGCUCAGGCUGCAGCCCGGGAGAGGAGGGAGUCUUUCCCAGUCAGGUUGUCACGUGUGCCUGGCUCUUCCAUGUCUGUGCCUUCGGAUCUGCUGCCCCAGUAGUGUCACCUCACAAAGGAGCUGGGGAUGUUUGUGUGGAGCUGCUCUAAUUUGAUUUUCAGUAGCUGUGUUUAACAACUUGUUCUUCAGAUUCUUGGAAAUUUAAACAGCUGCCUCUCUGGGCAGCUUUGGACAUAUGCUUUGUCAAGUCCCUUUAGCUUUGCCUGCAGCCUUGGUAUUUGAUGUUGUCUCCUGCCUCAGUGUCAAAAUAAAAGCCACAGGAAAA